UCAAACUUGGUCAUUUAGAGGAAGUAAAAGUCGUAACAAGGUUUCCGUAGGUGAACCUGCGGAAGGAUCAUUGCUGAGCGUGGUGUCCUGUCUCGUCGUGCUUACCCACGGCGAGAGAGGCACCUUUCUCACCAACACCCAUGUGAACUCGUGAUAAUGUGACUGGAGCCACUUGCGCGCACACUUGUGUGUGUGCUCGUGGUACUCCUUUUUAACAAUCACCCCAACAACUGUCUUCUCUGACUGAGAUAAACGUUGUCGUCGGCGUGUGGUGUGUGUCUUCGGACGCGCUCUCUCUCGCUUGGUGACACGAAAACAAGACAAACUAUCACAACUUUUAACAACGGAUAUCUUGGCUCGCGCAUCGAUGAAGAACGCAGC
RNAcentral lists this unclassified non-coding RNA (381 nucleotides) under uncultured fungus. RNAcentral's name for it is "partial contains small subunit ribosomal RNA, internal transcribed spacer 1, and 5.8S ribosomal RNA". The stretch from base 1 to 73 matches the Rfam family "Eukaryotic small subunit ribosomal RNA", at positions 1759 to 1831 of the family's 1831-position model. Lineage: Eukaryota; Fungi. The record is from RNAcentral.